Pan troglodytes (chimpanzee) is the source of this 2875-nucleotide long non-coding RNA. RefSeq lists it as uncharacterized. NCBI's taxonomy places the organism in Eukaryota, Metazoa, Chordata, Mammalia, Primates, Hominidae. The transcript is spliced from 9 exons. The record is from RefSeq and is a predicted model, not a curated record.
UGUAUAUUGGAUAAAGAAUAAAGCUUUAGGAUUAAUAAAUAAAUCAUCAGUUGAGGAACUUCAGGCAUCAUUAUGACAUCAAGUUAGGAGAGAGGAAUGUUCUGAAUCUCUCAUGGCUCCUCGUGUGCUGAUGUCAUCGUACUCCAUUGGAUAUGCUGGCCUGGCUGGGCAUCUCCCCCGGCAUGUGGUACCACAUUUCAGGACAAGUUUCUCCACCUAUUUAAACCUACGUCCCCUACAAGAUUCCUCCCAUCAAUCAUGAAAAUCACAGUUCUGAUUGCUGGGCCUCCCAGUGAAGUGGCUGAACUAUUUCUACCAGAGGUACAAGGCCUGAAAGAACCUAUCCAAAUAUCAGCUCCGGAUUUCCUCUUCUCCUGCCAGUGGUGUCCUAAAACCAUAUAGAUUGAGAAGACUGAUCAGCUUCCACAGGAUGAGAACGAUGACCAAGAAAUAUGCUGGCAGCCUCUAAGAAAAUAUCGUGUUUUGCGAAGGACUUCUGGGUCUUCAACUUGCAUUCGGGAAUUAAGACUGGACAGCAAAUGCAGUCCGGCUGGAGUGCAGUGGUGCAAUCUCAGCUCACUGCAACCUCCACCUCCCGGGUUCAAGUGAUUCUCCUGCCUCAGCCUCCUGAGUAGCUGGGACUACAGAGCAGCUGUACCCACAGGAAGCACACAUUUGGCUCUACUCCAUUUGACAAGUUUUACAAGUCUAUUUAUCUGUAGGCUGGAGUACAGCGGCACGAUCUCGGCUCACUGCAACCUCCACUUCCCAGGUUCAAGCGAUUCUCCUGCCUCAGCCUCCCGACUAGCUGGGAUUACAGAUGAAAGAUUGACCCUCUAAGAGACCAAACGACGUUGCCAAAGUCUCUCAGAAUGUGGAACAUUCGGGAUACAAAUUCUACACUGGCUGACUCCAGAACAAAUUUCAAAGUGCUUCUUUCAAAAUCCAAAACAAUUUUCAAAAUUUUGAAAAUAUUUCAGUCCUUUAAACACCAGUACCUGGACAUAACUUAGACACUGAAUUUGUGGACAAACAUAGACUGAGAUGAUUUUUAGCAGGUUGGAGACAAUGCCAUAGCUGGUUUCAUACCCAUUCAAAUUUUAUCCACAUUCUAAUUCCUAAGUGUUCAGUUCUGAUUAACUAAAUAGGAGGGGCAACUCCAGUGUUAUUUUACCAAAUAAUAGAUUGAUCUUGGUCCUGACAGAAUAAGCUUCAUGAUAAGUAUCAGGAAGCAUAUCAACAUGAAAAUCACCAAGGAAGAACAAAUGUGGUACAAAAGGGUGCACAUUUUCUGUCACUCCCCUGCCCCUGAACUACAAUUUUCAAAAUACAGACUAUGAAUAUAUCAAUAAUACAGAAAUAAGUCAGAAGUAGGAAAAUUGGCCUGGUUCCUUUAAAGCUCCAAGUUUACCGUCAAGUCUUUAAGUCUUAAUGUCAGUUACUAAAAUCAGUUUCCUCAUUACCUUCAUGCUGCUUCUUGUUUUUAUCACUCUCAUGUACAUUUUAAGAAAAUGUUUAAGAAACUCCUGCCCUCUGUUGGGAACAUUCCCCAUAUACACAGUGUCCCAACAAAAUACAUUUUAAAUGAUUCACACUGGCUUACCAGCCAUCUCUAAACAUUAAUAGUUUGCUUUCCAAAACUCCCUCAUCCACUAAAAUUAAAAAAAAAAACUGAAGUAGCACAAAGCCUACAGAUGAUAGAAAAUACCAGAUAAUUUUCCCCUUCGCUCUAAAAUCAAACGGCGAGAUAUGUAGUUACAUGGAUCCCAGAAAGCAUAUAGCCCAGCAGUCUGCCCCCAGAGCAGUUAAUCACUUAUCAGCCACAACUGACAGACAAGGCCCACAGAAAUUAAAUGUUUUCAAGUUGAAGGAAUAAAUGAAUGAGUGAAAGAAAUGAAGACACAAAUAAGGUUUCUUGUCAACUAGAACACUGUGUCUUUUUCUGCCGUUCCAUAAUAUAUGGAUGUCUGAUAACGCAGACAGGGAAGACUAGAGAUAGUUUUACAAAUAUUUGGAAAUGAGAAAAUUAGACCUGCGAUUUUAUGAUAAAAAUGAACAAACAAGAUUUCCUUUAUGACAUCAUAAGUGCAUUCUGAAAUAAAACAGUAAGAAUUUGAUUGACUUGAAAUAAGACAUCUCUACUAUAUUCUUGAUUUGGAAUAAGGCAGCAACGAUAUAUGAUUUACUUGCCAACAUGUAGAAGGAGUGCUUAGUGCAUUCUGAUUUUCGAACUGUGAUGUUCCUUUGAACCUUUCUCUCUUGAGUUCCAGAGAAAAAACUUCGUGAUAUUUGUCUUAGUGAAUCUAGGGUGACACGGUACUGCAAAUCUACAAAAAUUUUAAAAAAUAAUUGAUGGAAAUGUUUAUUUGAAGUGAUUCUCAUAUUGUACAGAUUAUUAAAUUAGCGUUAUAGAAAAAUCUCUUUGGCAAUCAAUCAAAAAAGAUUCUAUUGUUCAGCAUAUCCACACUGUUAUAACAAUGAUAUUAGCAGUCAUGAAGAUAACCUUGAGGAACUCUAUAGAACUGCUCUCUGAGUUCACUGUGCUUUCAGUGUCUAAUUAAAUUUAUUGUUUAUAAUUCUUAUACACACAUGCACACCUGCCUAUCAUCUAAUUUCCAGGCCACCACUGUAUUUAUUAUAUUUUCACUUAAAACAUUCUUUUUAAGUUUAGAAACGUUGGAACCCUGCUUAGAAUAUUGAUUAUGUUAUAUUUCAAUAGAGACAAAAAUAUACUUUAGUUAUUUGUUUACAAAUAUAUACAUUUUAAUCUAUUUAUAUAUAAAAAGACAUUAUCUCAGCUUAUGUUCAAACCACUAUUAAGGUUCAAUAAAAUAAGCAUACCACAAUAAAGAAAAUAAAUGAAAUCUUACACUGU